AGAGGAGACCAACAUCCCGAACCUAGAGGCAACUCAUGCAUGGCUCCCACGCCCCCCCACCUCGGCCGUCAACAAGAAAACCCCCGUGCAUCCCAGGGAUGGCGCCCUCUACAGGAGGGUCCUUGCCUCACUUUCGGGAGUCUCUUAACUGCAUCUCGUUGAUUCCUAGCGUUAGAAGAACUGAGCUAACAGGAGUCUGCCACCUCUCUGCCUUGCUGAUGCACCCAGGCAGGGCUCACUGGUUUGCAGGAGUACAUGACCACAGAUCAGAGCCAUUGGCUGCACAGAUACCUGACUCUGGGCUCUCAGGAAGACUCAGGCAGAGAUGGGGAGUCGGCCUGCAAGCUGGGACGCUAGAGCUCACGUGCAGUUCUCCAUUUAGCUAGGAGGUUUCCAGGGCAACCACCGAAGCAGUAAUUAAAGAUGAAGAGCUAAAAGAGAGAAGAAUAGCAGCAACCUGGUCUCUUUUCACGGAACACAGUAAGCCACCAAAGAGGUGUGGACAGCCAGCGACCUCCACGGAAAUCAUGAAGAUGUCCUUUCUGUUCCUCACUGCCUUCUGCCACAGCCCCUGGUCGGCAAGUGACCAAUUAAAAGGACCAGCCUGUCAUUCAGGAACAAUUGACAGAGGUCUAAGAUGUGUGAGAGAGAAGACAAAGGAGGCAGAGAGAGAGAGAGAGGUGCUGGCCAGACUUGGUGACAAACAGGCCUGACACAGUGAAGACGAAGGUUAAAUACAGAGAAGAAAUAACUUGGAAACGAACAUCAAAGAAGGAUGGUGGAAAUGGUUUAGGAAGAUGUUUUAAGUGUUUUCUUUUCUGUGACCCAACAUAAUACAGACCCGUUACAGUGUGGCAGGGAGGAGAGUAAGAUGAACACCCUAGGACUGCAGGGUCUCAGCCUGGGAUUGUGAUGGGCUGGAGGAAGGUGCUGCUAGCAUUCAUGCUUUCUGCUGGCCCGCUCUUGGCUCUCCUGUGGAAUUCAGUCCUCUGCUUCCAGGACAAGCCCAGCCUGCACUUGGGGAUCCUUGGGUGACCGUUCAACCGU
This 1047-nucleotide long non-coding RNA is filed under the name Mus musculus (house mouse). Its description in RNAcentral is "long non-protein coding RNA, Trp53 induced transcript". The record is from RNAcentral. Lineage: Eukaryota; Metazoa; Chordata; Mammalia; Rodentia; Muridae.